UACGUAGGGAGCAAGCGUUGUCCGGAAUCAUUGGGCUUAAAGGGCGCGUAGGCGGGCUGUCAAGUCUGGGGUGAAAUCCCGCGGCUCAACCGUGGAACUGCCUCAGAUACUGACGGCCUCGAGGAAGGUAGGGGCAUGCGGAACUGUAGGUGGAGCGGUGAAAUGCGUUGAUAUCUACAGGAACUCCGGUGGCGAAAGCGGCGUGCUGGACCUUUUCUGACGCUGAGGCGCGAAAGCUAGGGGAGCAAACGGG
Molecule: ribosomal RNA, 253 nt
Filed under: uncultured bacterium
Lineage: Bacteria
Description: partial 16S ribosomal RNA
Rfam family: Bacterial small subunit ribosomal RNA
Source: RNAcentral